RNAcentral lists this non-coding RNA (27 nucleotides) under Parcubacteria group bacterium GW2011_GWA1_50_14. The record is from RNAcentral.
UAUAGUCUUACCCCUAAGGUAACUUAG